AUACGAAGGGGGCUAGCGUUGUUCGGAAUUACUGGGCGUAAAGCGCAUGCAGGCGGAUCGCUAAGUCGGGGGUGAAAGCCCGAGGCUCAACCUCGGAACUGCCUUCGAUACUGGCGAUCUUGAGUCCGGGAGAGGUGAGUGGAACUCCGAGUGUAGAGGUGAAAUUCGUAGAUAUUCGGAAGAACACCAGUGGCGAAGGCGGCUCACUGGCCCGGUACUGACGCUGAGAUGCGAAAGCGUGGGGAGCAAACAGGAUUAGAAACCCCAGUAGUCC
Molecule: ribosomal RNA, 274 nt
Filed under: uncultured bacterium
Lineage: Bacteria
Description: partial 16S ribosomal RNA
Rfam family: Bacterial small subunit ribosomal RNA
Source: RNAcentral